Molecule: long non-coding RNA, 8253 nt
Organism: Symphalangus syndactylus (siamang)
Lineage: Eukaryota; Metazoa; Chordata; Mammalia; Primates; Hylobatidae
Source: RefSeq, a predicted model, not a curated record
GAAAACAGAUGAUACAUACAUAAGUAAACAAAUAUAUUAUGCAAAUCAGCAGGUCUUAACAGAAACAAUAGCUAAUCAGUCCCAAAAUUAACCCUGCUUAAUUAGAUUUCAGGACAUGAACUCUGUCUCAGUCAAACAGUACUGUAGGUGGCAGUAUUUAUUUUUUAAUUUUAUUAUUAUUAUACUUUAAGUUUUAGGGUACAUGUGCACAACGUGCAGGUUUGUUACAUAUGUAUACAUGUGCCAUGUUGGUGUGCCGCACCCAUUAACUCGAUUUAGCAUUAGGUAUAUCUCCUAAUGCUAUCCCUCCCCCCUCCUCCAACCCCACAACAGUCCCCGGAGUGUGAUGUUCCCCUUCCUGUGUCCACGUGUUCUCAUUGUUCAAUUCCCACCUAUGAGUGAGAACAUGCGGUGUUUGGUUUUUUGUCCUUGCGAUAGUUUGCUGAGAAUGAUGGUUUCUAGCUUCAUCACACGUAUGUUUAUUGUGGCACUAUUCACAAUAGCAAAGACUUGGAACCAACCCAAAUGUCCAACAAUGAUAGACUGGAUUAAGAAAAUGUGGCACAUAUACACCAUGGAAUACUAGGUGGCAGUAUAUUUUUAAUAAAUUUCAACUAUUGGGCCAUCAGCUGCAGUAGCUAAAGCUGACAUUCUUGAAAAUUCAAUUAAUUUUUCAGUAUCACUGCAAGAGCUCUGAUCAGAGAAAGUAGCUCUGUGAUGUCUCCAGGGCAUGAAUCAGGUACCAUAAAUGCACACUGGAUGGUUCCACUCUGCUGACAACAAUGGAUUCCAAGAUGUUUUCAAGAUUCUCUCCAUCCAACUGAGGUAUUAUUUUAAUUUUCAGUGAGACAUUUAUGUUCAAAGAUCUUUUUCAAUGAAGAGACAAACAGUUUUAUCAUUGAGAGACCAUAGCAAAUUAUCUGGUAAGGAGAAAGGAAAGAGAAAAAGAUAGAAUCUGGUCUGGGAGUAAACAGACCUCCUACAGAGCAUGUGCAUUUUUUCUCUCUGGAUGGAGGGAGUAGCGACAGAAAGUCUAAUGGAGUCAGCUGGAUUACUGAUCCAUUCCCUGGUCUCGUCAAGCAGAUGGUAGGGCUGGCUGUUAUGACACUGGUAAGAAUUCUAGCACAUCGUCAUGGGGAUAGCAUGUAAAUGAAGUCUCAACAUUUUCUAGGUAUUUUAGUCUUUACCAGAUUUAGGAGUAACAAGGCGGAUCUCACGAGAUGCUAGACAGAUCAAACAGAAAGGUGGAUAUUUGGAAAGAACAGUCUUCUUCCACUGAUUAGGUAAACCUCGAGACCAAUCCAGAAAUAAAUUGCCAAGCUUCCAUCAAAUAAUUCAAAAGAAGACCCAGGACUCUUGAUGAUAUACUUGAGGUCACUACAUAUGAAAGAUGAUAGCAUCUUAGAAGGCAACAGCAGAGGAAAGGAGAAUUUUCAUAGGGAAGAGGAGAGUCGGUGAAAGUGAAAUUGCUUUAACAAAAUAAUGAUCUCGAUAACCCCUACUUGAACUGUGGUUUGAAGGACAGUAUCAUCAGCAUCACGUGGAGUUUGUGAGAAACUUAGAAUUUCAAGGCCCUCUCGACCCCAAUUACUGGUGCAAACUCUGUAUUGUAACCCGAUCCCCAAGGUGAUUCUAGUAUACAUUAAAGUGUGAAAGUCUUGUUGUUAUGAACAGAUUCUUACAGUGCUGCAACUUAGAAUAUCUUUUAAGAAUUAUAAAGACAAUUGUGUGACUCUCAUAUCUGAAAUAAGUAUUAAAGGCAAAGUAUAUGUUGAUAUCAUGGCACUGUUCUUAAGGAAUUAACAUCCAGAUGAAUUGUUUUGCAUCUUUUCAUUGGAAAUAAAAUGCCUGGGGUGGGGUGGGGUGGGGUGGGGGGGCGAAAGAAUCAGAGAGCUCUGAUCAGUGUGUAAAUGUAUCAAAUAUCUAUUUAAUAUGUACCCCAGCAGAGAGUCCAGGCUUUAAAUCACUGGAAGCAAUCUCUGAAUUUUUAUUCUCAACACGUUUCACCUUUAGGCAAUAUUACAAUAAAAUUCUCUGUGGGUUUGUAAACUUAGUGCCACUCUUCGGGAUAAAUGUAAAGGGUGUAUAACUCCUGGUAUAUUCUAACAAGUCAUCAUUAUUAGUGAGUAUACUUAACAAGGUUCAUGCAACUGCAUUUACAGUUCUCCCUAGAAAUGUCUUUGUUCAUACACUGCUGCAGUUGAAAACUAUCAUUCAUUCUGGAUGUAAACUGAUUCAAUGAAAACAAAUGGGCCUGGGCUGUCACAUUUCCACUUACUAUAGUCAAGUGAACUUCGAACAUUUUAAAGUUAGUAACACUUAGAAAUGCAAGAAAUAUAUACUACUAACUCAAAGUCUCCUAUGUUUUAAAAAAGAAUGGCAGUUUUUUAAAAGGAAGAAAAAAACUAAAAUUAUCUUGAUAUCCCCAGCACAUUAAGUAGAGGAGAGGGUAAUAAAUAUGUGAUAAGUGUAAUGAGGAAUCAUGCUGGAUGGGAAGAAAUGUACUUUUGUAACUCCAUCCAUUCCUGUGCCUCAUAGAAGGCUUGACCAAGGUUUUUUGGUUUAUUGUUUUUUUCAGAUGGAAUGCUACUUUGUUAUUAAAACAAUGCAAAGAAGUAGGUCAGUAUACACUAAAAUCAGUAUAAAAUAGGAACACUUGAAUUGUUGAAUACCAUUCUUCACACUAGGAGCACAAGAGAAGGAACACUGAAAAUCUAUGGCAUAUCUUUGAUUUCAACACAGAAAGAGCAUUGAAUCCAAAGGUAACACAUGCAAACCCCCUACUCUAGAUAUUAGAAAUACAACAGUAAAUAAGGCUCUCAGGGUCUCCACUCUCAUCAAACCAGUGAUGGAGAGAUAACAAUAAGUGAGUCAAGUAUAAGUGAGUUAUAUGUGAAACUGAGCAAGCAAAAGAGCGCAAUGAGGGUGUGCAAUAACUAGAGCAGGGAAGUUGAUUUAGAUGAUUGGGAAAGCUUUAGGAGACAAUGACAAUUAAAUUGAGAUCUUAAUGCUGAGGAACCACUUGUGGGAAGAUCUGGACCAAGAACAGAAAGAAUAGAAAAAAAUCCAGUGAGCAUUGAGCACAGUGACACUGGGGCAAUGUGGGAAUACAAUGAAAUCAGAGCUGUGAGAUGGGGCUAUGUCAUGUAAGUCCUUCGAAAUCUUGGUCAAACUCUUUGAUUUUAUACCAUGCAUAAUGGGAAGCUACUAGAGUUUCAUAGUUAGGGGAAUGACAUGGUUUGAUUUACAUCUCAAAAAUAUAACUGUCUGUUGUGUGGAAAAUAAACUCUGGGUAGGCAUGGAAGUGACAGCAGUGAGUCCAGCAUUUAUGAAGUUAUAGAACAUAGGAGUAUGGGCUAUGAAAUUAUACACACCUGGGUUCAAAUCCCACUCACAUGAGCACUUGGGUAAAUAAUCACCUUAAAGUCUUAGUUUUCUUGUCAGUAAAUGAAGACAAUAAUACUAGGAUCUAUUUUAUAGGGUAGUUGUAAGGAUUAAACAAUAUAUGCAUAAUAAGCUUUUUAAAGACUGUCAAUCCAUGGGAUAUAUUUGUGGAAUAUAAACAGAAUAUUUAUGUAUAUAUGCUAUAUUUCUUCAUCUACUGCUUUUAACCAUUAAGUUACUUCUUUUCCCCAUCUCUUAAUAUCUUGGGCAGAAUCACUGAAUUUGUGGUCACUUUUGGUUUUUAAAAGUUUGGGCUAAUUUAUAAGUUAAUCAUGUCAUCAUUUUUAGUUAAAGUGGAGGAGGAAGAUGUAGUAUGUCUCUAGGUACCUUACCAUCACCCCCCAACAAGACCUGGCCCUUCCAGUUUAUUGGGAUGGAGCUGAUGAGGGGAAGAGAAAAGAGCAGUGGUUAUUCAUAUAGUCCUCUUUCUGUGGGCUGUAGCUGCUUCUCUGGUUCACCCUUACUGACCUCUGCUGCCCUUCAUGCAGUAGACUCACGAGUGCCCCAUGUGACUUCCCAACAGCAGUCAACAACAUGAGAGAAAUUCAUCUGUCUCAUCCCCCAGCUCGUCUCCCAGCUCUAUCCUUCACACAACACCCCAUAGCAUCCGGCUGCUCUAAUCCCCUGGCCCAGCUAGUGGUCUUCUUGUAAUAUUGGCUAGGUGGCUCAAGCCAAAGAUUCAAAGGGAUAUCUCCUUUACUGAUGCCUGUGGGAAUUCUGGCUGCACCAAAUGUUGAUGGUACAGAUUAAAUUCUUCUUUUUUUUUUUUGACGGAGUCUCGCUCUGUCACCCAGGCUGGAGUGCAGUGGCGUGAUCUCAGCUCACUGCAACCUCCACCUCCCGGGUUCACGCCAUUCUCCUGCCUCAGCCUCCCAAGUAGCUGGGAUUACAGGUGCCCGCCACCAUGCCUAGUUGUUUUUUUUUGUAUUUUUCAUAGAGACGGAGUUUCACCGUGUUAGCCAGGAUGGUCUCGAUCUCCUGACCUGGUGAUCUGUCCGCCUCGGCCUCCCAAUGUGCUGGGAUUACAGGCAUGAGCCACCGCGCCGAGCCAGAUUAAAUUCUUCUUGUCCCCUCUUUCUACCCUGCCGGUCCUCUUCUUCCCUCCUCAGAAAGACAUAGGGCAGGCCAGCAAGUUUGAUGCAUACAAAGUCAUGCAUUGGGAAUGCAGAACACCAGCUUUCAUUUCUUUCCCGGCAUACACAUGCUCUACAUGUGAUUCUAUAGUUUUUUCCCUCAAUUACUUUCGGUAAAAAAAGCAAACCUCUUCACUAACAAUAUGUUUUACAGAGCCUAUGCCUUAAAGACUCUGUGCUUACCUGUCCCUCACUGCUUAGGUAGAUAAGGGAGGUGGGAAGUGGGGAGUUAGAAGUAGUUAAAGGGUCAGUCUUUCUGUCCUCUAGUAAAUGCUGAGGAACGUAACUGGUCAGUUUAGGGAGGUUCCAUUUACAAUGAAGGCUACUUAAAUUAUUUUCUUUCAGAAGGUUCUAAUCAACAAUUCUAUGAGAAAAAUUUCCAUUCAACAUAUGGUGGACAAUCAAUUAAUGGUAGAUAUUAUGAUCAUUAUUAUUAAAGUAACCACUACAUUUAAAAUCACUACUCAGCAGUUUUAAAAAAUCAGGUUUUUACCAAAUGUUUUAUUACCCAGAAUAUCAUGAUGACCAACACCCUCAUUCUAGGAGCACUUGGUUAAUUAAGGUUCAUGACAUAAGAACGAGAUUGAAGUAUUGUAAAUAGAAAAAAAAAAAAUACAUGUUUCUAUUGAUGGUUUAUUCUCUUAAACAAGUUUGUGCCUGAGUGACUUACAAAAUAAUUUUAUAAAAUAUUUGCUAUUUAUUUAUUUUUUUAUUUGCUCAGGGAAACGCAUCAGGCUAAGAAUUAUGAGAGUGAAACACUGGUUUCUUCUUGGACACUUUUCAGCUCUGCCCUUAACCACCCUACUUAGCCUCACUGGGCCUCAUUUUCCCUCCUGGCAAAGUGACAUAGUCAGACUAAGUGAUCUCCAAUGUUUCUUUCCAUUCUAAAACUCUAUGGUUCUAUAACAUUCUUGAUUUAUUGAGUCACUGUUUCACUGAUUCAUUCAAUAAACAUUUGUUGAAGCCCAAUUCUGUGCCAAACUCAAUUGCUCUCCUGCUGUCAAAAUCAGGCAACAUGCUAGAGUUAAAAUGUCUUUAAAGAUUUCUGAUGGCUGCCGCUUUUAAAAGGAACUUCCCACAGCAACCCCUGCCUCUUUGUGCUUCUAGAGCUAGCUCUCCUAUUAUUCUGUGAGGACUUACAAAUUCAGAAAGACAAAGGAAUAUGGAAAGUCCUCAUAUUCACAAACUACUAGAUGUAAAUUUCCUACUUCUAAUCACCUUUCUUCCACAACCCAGAAAACAGCACCUUCAAUGGAUUUGCUAGUGUUACAGAUUGUGUUUGAUUAUUUGUCCCCAAAUUUAAAGUACUUCUUCAUAUAAUUGCAAAUAUAUGCAUAGAAAAUAAAAUAUUUUAAAAGAAAGCUAAUAUUAUAUACUAUAGUCUUAAUUUGAGAUUAUACAUAUUUAUCCAAUAAAAGUACAGAAGGAUCAAUCAAUACUGACUAGUGUUUCCCUAUGGGCUCCAUGGAUAGAGCCCAUAAUUUGAAAUUAGGAGCCCUAGGUUCAGUUCCUCAGUUUAUGGUUGGUGCUAUAUGUCCAAGAGCAGUAAAUGUAGCUGAGUCUGACUUUAUUUACCUCAAUAUAAUGAACAUAGAUAUUCUGUUAUGCUGCAUUUUCAGAUUUUUUAAAAAUUAAAAUCUUUAAUAUAAAUUAUGAAACUUCUUAUUAAUUAUAUACUGGGUCUUCCAUAACUUCCCAUUACCCUAUCUAUCAUAGCUGUAUUGAAAACAUCAUUAAUCAACAUUCUCUAGCUCAGUAUUUUUCAUCCCAAAUUCCCUAUCUGGUUUGAGUACCGUUUUCUCAAUUAUCUGAAGGGUAGUGUAAAACCAGCAUCAUUCUAGAUGCAUAGGAGAGAAGUUAUUUCAUUAAAUAAGACAGAUUCCUUAGGGUUUUAUUCCCGUCCCAAGUUCAAUAGAGUUACAGAUUAAGUGCAAACACACAGAAUUCACGAGAAAGACUUGAGGUAACUCACAGAAUAGAAGGAAUUGCUAAACCACCAAUUCUUGGAGAGGAAGAUACUCUGGGUAAACCCAAACUCUUGAACUCACAGUUCCUGGUCUCCUCUAGGUUUGUACCACUCAUAUAAUUGAGCUCCAGUGAACUUGAGGUAAUUCUUUUCAGGUUCUGAAUUCCCCAAAUCAGAAGACUUGGAUAGCUCUACUUGCGUCAGAAGUCAAUUCCCAGAUCAGUCUUUGUGGUUGGAAUACGGAAGAGGGGACAAGAUUAUAAAGCUGGGACAUGCCAGAGAAUGGCUGUGAGGGGACAGCCUAAUCAUUCAUUAACACCUGUCGUGGUCUACAAGUUAGUAUUUAGAUCUAGUAGUUAAAAAAAAUAUUUCCUAGGAUGAUGAAAUUAUUAACAUCUCUUUUUUAGUUUUACCUUUGACAUAAAUUUAGGUCUUAGAAUCCAAGGUAAAUAAUGAAUUUCAGCUGAAUUGUGACAAGCUUUAUUUAAAUUGUGCAUCUUUAUCAGAGAUCUAAGCUAAACACAGAAUUAUAAACUUUAUAGUUGGAAGAGGGAGAUCCAUAACAUUUACGAGAUUUUCUCUGGUGCACAGGCGAAGUUGGGAUGAAAAGCUGGGUCUCUAGAUCAGUUGACUCAAAACAGAGAUGAUCAUCAGAAUCACCGGGAAAACUUUCUACAAGAGUAUAUUUCCAGGAACCCUACCCACUUCAGCUUCAACAAUAUUGGGGUGGAUCACUUGUUAACAUAUUAUUAUUUUUUUAGUUUCUAGUUAGUUCCAAUGACUAGUUUGUCUUACAAUUCAAUGUUUUGCAGUUUUUGCUUUUUAUUUUUGUUAAAGUAAUGGGCCUCCUCUCACCUUAUUCUCCAAGGAAAGAAUUCACAUCCCAACAAAUAGCACAAAAUACAAAAUAAAAUAGACAUAAGAGAAGCAAUCAAAAAGCAGAGCACAUUCUCACUAUUUAGUUUGGAAGCAAUUUCAUUGGUUAGAGAACAUUCUGGCCAAACUGAAUAAUACCACCUCUUGAAUAUGUAGUUAUAAUUCACAAUACAUCCAUUCACUUCUAAGAGUGAGCGUUCUCUGGACUCAUGGAUAGGACACAUUCCACAUUCACAGGCUGCAAUUGCUUUUUUUGUUGUUGUUUUCUUUUCUACUUGUGGGUAAACCAAAUACCAUAUUAAAACAAAUUAUUUCUCCUCUUAAAGAUCAUUUUCCUUGACAGUAUAUGGCAAGAAUAUUUGAUAUAUUUUACACCCCAUGCUUGAAAUAAGUUGUCUCCUCCUCCAUUAACCAUAUAAUAUGCCUUCCCUACCAACAAUUCAGAAAACUACACAAGUUAAAGAGGUCUUCUAUUCAAGGGCUUUCAAAAAUUUCUUCCCAGUUACCCAGGACACAUAUACAAUACCUAAGCUUUCUACCCUCAAUACACUCUUCUACUUUUGAUAGGAAUAGAAAUUCUUCAAAAUUGAUUUCAUAAUCCACCAAUGGUUCACCAUCCAAACUUUGGAAAACACAAAUGUUAUUCAACCUUUCCAUUUUAUACAUUAAAAAAACGAAGGUCCAGAGAAGUUAAUAGACUUGGCAAAGACCACUCAGCUUAUGAAUGCGCCGGACUAGAAUUUGGCUUUAUGACUCUAUAUCCUGUGUUCUUUCUAUCACACUUCUAUGCAUUUAUUAUUUUUUUCUUUCCUUUUUUUUUUUUUUUUUUUUUUU